AUGGGUGGUGGUUGUGUGGAGACUCUUCUUCCUCACUGUCGAUAUGAUUUUUUGUUGUUGUUAUUCCUCCUUUUUUGUGCUGUUGCUGGAAGGGUGUCCUGCUUUGCCCGAUCGGUUGGUUUGGCCAUUACGCAGGAACCAGGUCCUAGUUCUCUUCCAUCUGGAAGGGGCACAUAUAUGGCAAAGGCUGGUGCGGGCGUGUUUGAUGCACAUGUGUGUCCUUGUCUUUUCGGUGCUGGAGCGAAAAACAAGGGAAGCAGCGUGGCGGUGAUUAUGUUGUGGUUGAAGAUGAUGACCUGCUUGGGUCUGGUUGGAGAUUACUGUGUUGUAGGGGUUUCCUCGCAAGAUUCAGAGAUGAUGACACAUAGCUCUGGAGAGAUACUCGUGUUUUAUUGGUUAUUUUAG
Molecule: ribosomal RNA, 405 nt
Filed under: Triticum aestivum (bread wheat)
Lineage: Eukaryota; Viridiplantae; Streptophyta; Magnoliopsida; Poales; Poaceae
Description: partial small subunit ribosomal RNA
Source: RNAcentral